AGCUGGAAUCAGACGAAUACGAGACCGACGGAAGGCCAAUUCAUUGUUUCGUUAUGUCACGUGUAUAACCACGUAUGUUUGUCGAAUGGGGAAUUCCGAUGCGAACUGGAAGGCCAAACUCGACGAUAGCGACGAUAAAAGGAAAUUGAAAUAGAAAAAGAUGCACCUCUUCAUUUAACUCGACGAAUGUUAUCAGAUCAUUUUUUGGGUCUUCUUCGAAUUUUCAUUGAGGUAAAAAACCUACCCAUACCAGCUUCGGGAUCGUGUCGAAUAAUUGGCGAAAGAUAAGAAAGAAUUGCUCGAGUAGGUAUCUAAAUCUUAAGAAUUAGCGGAAUCUGAUUACGAAAAUACAACUCCUGAUAUAAAUCAAUUAACGAGGUGGUAUAACGUAGAGAACAAACAAAUUGGUACAAUAAAUAAAAAGAUGCCUGACUCGCUGUAGUUUCGGUACUAUUCCAUUGGAAAAUUUUGAUAAAAUUAUCUUCUUCGUUUUUUCUGUUUAUCUACCAAACGACACAUGUUCAGAAUAUGUGUAGGAAUUAUUCGGUAAACUUUACCUGAUAGGUAUCGUUUAAUUUGAAACUAUAUGGGAGUCUGUACGGUAGUAUAGGAGGAAGGUUGAUUAAUGAUUAACGAGAUGAAUUAUUCAGCAUGAUUGAAAUACGCUCAUGCAGUUUCAGUAUAAUUGAUCAAUUGAGAGAGCAAAUCUGCAAGUGCAAUUUCCUCAUGCUAGACAUUUAUACAAAUUAGACUGAGCUGCAUUUAGAAAGCUAUAGAAAAUUAGGAAUUGAGGGGACAAUUAAAUGCCGAAGAAGAUAUCUCUUUUCGAAUAUCAUGAAAUGAAGAAUUCUAAGACUGCAGAAUUUCAAGUUAUUUAUAAUAUGCAAUUCGGAUCCUUCGAACAUUUGGAAAUGAAUUAGAAUAGUUUAACGAAGCAGUUCAAAAUCUUAAUUCUCUUCUUCGCGACUCUGUCUGCCUUAAAUUUUCCUCUCGAAGUCAGCUUAUGAGCUAAAGCUCAUGUGUGAUGGCAGCACAGUUCGGGAGAGAUUAAGCUGACGAUGUAAAAAAUCAUGUGGCUCCAUCUGUUAGGGGUGCUGAGCUUGCAGUUCUUCAGUCAUUAAAGGGCCGUGGGAAUUGAUAAAAAUGAAUGACAUCGAUUCAGCCAAUGGCACCCGCAUUCCUGUACUACGACAGAUACUCCAGCCAAUCGUAAGUCUGAUAGUAAACAUGCGUACAACUGUCACGUGACUAGAAAGGAAUUUGAUUGAUAUUUUACGACUGGGGUAGGUUGUUUACUUAUAGAGCUGUCAAACAGCAGACCACUGUGUGGACCUUUAAAUUCUUAAAUCACGGAGACUUGCGGAGAAUUGAAAUGAAACGUUUAAAAUACGGUUGAAAACUGAAAAUAUUAUUGCCUUGUAUUAAAUGGAACUGGUAUUUCAAGGUAUGACAUAACUAAUAGCUCUAAAAAUUCAUACUUUCAUAUUAUACCUGAGGGUUAGUUUUUAUUUUUACUCUCCUCUUGGUGAUCUUUGUUACUUUCUUACUCUUCAACUUAAAGUUCAACCUGGUUUCGGUUCUAAAGUCCAUGAUUCAAGUCACCGGGCAUUAUCCCCAUCAAAAUACUGCUAUGACAGUUACCAUCUAUAACCUUCACAAUUGUGAAAGGGUUGUAGAUUGGCAACAAUCAAGCCGCUGAAGAUGAGUUAUGAUUCUAACUCAUGUUUAUCAUACUUUGUCCCACCGGAAGUACUGGAGAUGAUUGGGCCUCGGGGAGUGUAACAAGCUCGGAGCAAGACGCAGUUCAAGGGACCGAUGUUCAUGGUUCAAGAGAUUGAUAGCGUAUCGAAGGCCACUAAAUGACAAAGAAACAAACCAGAGAGGACUGGCGAUCAACCGGCAUACUCCAAUCAUUCUGUUGUCCCACCGAGGAGUGGAAUCGUGUGGCUCUGCUCUCAAGAGACACGGAAUUUUCUGUGCCCCGAAGAAGUGUGAGGCUUGCGUCCUAGUAUCAAGCUCCUUUGGUGUUGUAGAAAAUCUUGUAUACUGAUUAAAUAUUAUUCAAACGA
Athalia rosae (coleseed sawfly) is the source of this 2069-nucleotide long non-coding RNA. RefSeq lists it as uncharacterized. The transcript is spliced from 3 exons. The record is from RefSeq and is a predicted model, not a curated record. Lineage: Eukaryota; Metazoa; Arthropoda; Insecta; Hymenoptera; Athaliidae.